UAGGGAAUUUCGUCAAUGGGCGCAAGCCUGAACGAUCAAUGCCGCGUGAACGAGGAAGGUCUUCGGAUCGUAAAGUUCUGUUGAAGGGGAAAAAGAGCGGAGAGAGGAAAUGGUCUCCGAUUGAUAUUACCCUUCGAGGAAGUCACGGCUAACUACGUGCC
Molecule: ribosomal RNA, 161 nt
Filed under: uncultured bacterium
Lineage: Bacteria
Description: partial 16S ribosomal RNA
Rfam family: Bacterial small subunit ribosomal RNA
Source: RNAcentral